Molecule: ribosomal RNA, 871 nt
Filed under: Microbacterium sp.
Lineage: Bacteria; Bacillati; Actinomycetota; Actinomycetes; Micrococcales; Microbacteriaceae
Description: bacterial SSU rRNA
Rfam family: Bacterial small subunit ribosomal RNA
Source: RNAcentral
UGCAAGUCGAACGGUGAACACGGAGCUUGCUCUGUGGGAUCAGUGGCGAACGGGUGAGUAACACGUGAGCAACCUGCCCCUGACUCUGGGAUAAGCGCUGGAAACGGCGUCUAAUACUGGAUAUGUGACGUGAUCGCAUGGUCUGCGUCUGGAAAGAAUUUCGGUUGGGGAUGGGCUCGCGGCCUAUCAGCUUGUUGGUGAGGUAAUGGCUCACCAAGGCGUCGACGGGUAGCCGGCCUGAGAGGGUGACCGGCCACACUGGGACUGAGACACGGCCCAGACUCCUACGGGAGGCAGCAGUGGGGAAUAUUGCACAAUGGGCGCAAGCCUGAUGCAGCAACGCCGCGUGAGGGAUGACGGCCUUCGGGUUGUAAACCUCUUUUAGCAGGGAAGAAGCGAAAGUGACGGUACCUGCAGAAAAAGCGCCGGCUAACUACGUGCCAGCAGCCGCGGUAAUACGUAGGGCGCAAGCGUUAUCCGGAAUUAUUGGGCGUAAAGAGCUCGUAGGCGGUUUGUCGCGUCUGCUGUGAAAUCCGGAGGCUCAACCUCCGGCCUGCAGUGGGUACGGGCAGACUAGAGUGCGGUAGGGGAGAUUGGAAUUCCUGGUGUAGCGGUGGAAUGCGCAGAUAUCAGGAGGAACACCGAUGGCGAAGGCAGAUCUCUGGGCCGUAACUGACGCUGAGGAGCGAAAGGGUGGGGAGCAAACAGGCUUAGAUACCCUGGUAGUCCACCCCGUAAACGUUGGGAACUAGUUGUGGGGGUCCAUUCCACGGAUUCCGUGACGCAGCUAACGCAUUAAGUUCCCCGCCUGGGGAGUACGGCCGCAAGGCUAAAACUCAAAGGAAUUGACGGGGACCCGCACAAGCGGCGG